This 424-nucleotide ribosomal RNA is filed under the name uncultured bacterium. Its description in RNAcentral is "partial 16S ribosomal RNA". It matches the Rfam family "Bacterial small subunit ribosomal RNA", at positions 360 to 776 of the family's 1533-position model. The record is from RNAcentral.
AAUUUUGGACAAUGGGCGAAAGCCUGAUCCAGCCAUGCCGCGUGUGUGAAGAAGGUCUUCGGAUUGUAAAGCACUUUAAGUUGGGAGGAAGGGUUGUAGGUUAAUACCCUCCAUUUUUGACGUUACCGACAGAAUAAGCACCGGCUAACUUCGUGCAACCAGCCGCGGUAAUACGAAGGGUGCAAGCGUUAAUCGGAAUUACUGGGCGUAAAGCGCGCGUAGGUGGUUUGAUAAGUUGGAUGUGAAAGCCCCGGGCUCAACCUGGGAAUUGCAUCCAAAACUGUCUGACUAGAGUAUGGCAAAGGGUGGUGGAAUUUCCUGUGUAGCGGUGAAAUGCGUAGAUAUAGGAAGGAACACCAGUGGCGAAGGCGACCACCUGGGCUAAUACUGACACUGAGGUGCGAAAGCGUGGGGAGCAAACAGG